AGAGUGAAAUAAACAAGCCACAAAAAGACAAUGCUGCAUGGAGCUCCACUUCCUCUUGAUAAAUUCAAAACAGCCAGCGCAUCUUAAGGGUGGAGUUUUUUAGCAGCAGGGAGCAGUAGUUGGAUGGAGGGAAGCCAUUGGAAAGGAGGAAGGAGGAGAAGAGAAACAAACUUAGGUGCUCCAGAAAAGUCCACUUUCUUCUUCCCCUUUCAGGCCACCUUCAUCUUCCCCCACCCUCUGCUGGCCUUUCUGGGGGCUCGGAUUUUGAGCUGACUGAGCCCUCAGCAGGAGACCACAUCGUGUUUUCAGAUGAAAGAACAGCGCCCGAAGAGCACAGUCUAAUAAACAGAGAAGGCUCGGGAGGGUCAGAAACACGGCGUUUGCUGAUUCAGCCUCAUUUCUCAGCCUACUUGCCAAGAAUUCCCAAAAACAAAGAGAGAAAACGCUGGAGGAUCAUUCUGAAGUUUGAGGGCUGGGAUGCAUGUCCAGGAAACUCAGGCCAGGCGGUAUGCUGCAGCAGUACAGAGA
Molecule: long non-coding RNA, 528 nt
Filed under: Cebus imitator (Panamanian white-faced capuchin)
Lineage: Eukaryota; Metazoa; Chordata; Mammalia; Primates; Cebidae
Description: lncRNA (ENSCCAG00000038184.1)
Source: RNAcentral